UCCCGUCCUCCGGCCUCUCCCCAGCCUGUCCUCGGCCUGCGGGGCGCCUGCGGCGGCGAUGAGUGCUGCGGCGGGGUCCCCCCGAGGGCGCGGGGGCCGCUGUGGCUGCGCCCGCACCUGGCCCGGCUCCGCGCUAGGGGAGCCAUGGAGGCCGAGCCGAGGGGAGGGACCCCGCGGUCCGGCGGGGCGGGGCGUCACUGCGUGGAAUUUUCCCUCCAAACCGCACUCGUUUCUUCCAGGGGGUCCCGCACGAGGAGGACCCCCACCGCGCCGCUGCAAUUUUGUAGGUGGGACUCGCGGUGAUCCUGCGAGGACCCCGCGGGCUCUGCGGCAGGGACUCAGCCCCCAGGACCCAGGGAAACGCCUUGUGAGCGGACAGGGGGCCCCGUCCUCGAAUCCCCCCGGGGCUCUCGGGGCCCCUGAACCCGCCUCCGCUUCUCCAGCUGCUGCCGUUUGAGUUGGACGCUGGCCGGACCCCAGAGCCUCUGCUGAUGUUGUCGUUGGUGGCCGGCCACGGGCAUCUCUGAGCCAAAGGCCCCCGAGCAGAGCCAGGACGUGGAAGGCCCCAGAUCAAGUCUCUUCCCAGAGAGGCAAGGAUCUCAGUGCUGCAGCCUGGGAGCCACGGCUGCUUUGCCUCCAGCCAAGGGCCCCUUGGGGGACUGCAGGGCAGCCCCUGACCAGAGCCGCAGGCGGGGGGCAGGCAAGGGGAGGAGGGGCCCCAGUGUCAGGGCUCCAUCAGCUGGCAUCCCCCACCAUGACCCCACUGCUGACUUUGGGGUGAAUAAUGAUCCCCGUGUUGCCAUGUUGUGUGAGGGUAACAGCCUUACGUGUCGCCAAGAAGCAGGGAGAGCGGCCGUUCCCAAGCAGGAAGCCAAGUGCCCGGCUGUCGGCAGUCAGCCGACUGGAGGCCCAGCUCCUCCCCUCAGUCACAGAGCCUCUGGUUUGGGAAACACUGUCCCGGCCACUCGGCUAACAGUCCUCUGUGCACCAGCUCCAUGCCAGGCUGAGUAGUGCCCAGUGCAGGCAGUGACAGGCACUCGAAGCCGUGGCUGUCAUCAGGGGUGACAGCAUUGAUCUCAGAUGGGGAAACUGAGGCACACACGUGCGGGGUGACGUGAUUUGAAUCUGUGUGCACGCUUCAGCACUAGGCUUUACUGCCUUCAGACCCCUAUGACAUUUGGGGGCACUGGAUUCUGCCUUAAGCAAACAAAAACAAGGCCGAGAAAGAGUCGGUGUUUCAUGAUUACCCACCCAGGCGGUCUGGGUGCUGGGCUUCAGAGCCCCAGGCCAGUCCAGGAGUGCCAUGCCGGCCACUGGGCUUCCUGCUGUGACGUGAGGUGAAUCUUGUUUUGCAAGCAGGCUGGAAGUGCUGGCGGCGGGCAGACUGUCUUCCCCCGGGGAGUCACACAUUGAUCAUAGCAGCGCCUUCCUCUGGGAUGCAGAUGUAAGAGGUUCCUUCUGCCCGCUCCCCACUCUCCCGGGGCACUGGUGGGUGGCCUCUCUGGGACCCUCCUCUCAGCUUCACGCGGCUCCGCAGCCCCCUUCCCUAUGGGAAGCUUGCAAGAGAACACAUUCCCACACACUCCGACCAGGCCCAGGGGCACUGGUUUCUAAGUCAGUUCCAAGCGUUAGCAGCUCAAAGGAAUCUAAAAUGACUUUAUUUGGUGUCAAAGACAAAAGCAUUAUUACUCAGUUACUGCUUUAAGGAAAAGAAUGUCUCUCUUUUUAAUAGUUAUCUAAGUUGAGUGACUUUCUAUUCAUAAUCUUGAGGUGCUUUGAAAAAAUAUUCCCUUCCUUUCAACCUCCCCGAAAAGGCCUUGUCGAAAGGCUCUUGGUGAUUUGUACGCCAUGAGCCUCCAUUCUAGUAUUUGUACCUGUUGUGCUUAGAAACGCUCCGGUUCAUGCAGUAAUAUCUUGCUUCAGAGAAGAAUGAAGUUUCUCAGAGCUGUGUGGCUUUAGGGGAAAAGGACAAAACAAAGUGAAAAUCUAGUAUUUCCGUUUGGAAACGUGAUAGCUCAGCAUAGAACCAGUCCUCGUUAUUCUGAAGCGAUGACGGUAAUAACCAACAUGUGGCCAAAGCUCUCGGCUUUCUGCCAGCCUCGCAGUCAGGCACAGCAGUCAGCAGAGACAUUCCCAGCACUGGCCUUUUCCCGGCCACGUCCCUGUGGAAGCAGGUGCCACCUGCCCCUGGCGCUCUGCUGCCCUUGUCUCCCCAGUACCCCCGGGCUCCUCUCCGUCAGACCCAGGCAGCCUCGGCUGGGCAUGCAGCGCACAGUACCCCCGCGGCUGGACUGCUGCCUUCUCAUCAAGCAAACUGCUCAUCGCUCCAAGCAGCUGAUUUUAGUUGCUGAGGAGGAGAUAAGGAGGCACGAACAAAAAUGACUGGAUUGUCAAGGACUUACAAGAACGUCAUGGCCAAACUCAUGUCAACAAAAUGACUGGAGUCAACUGGUCAGGGACAAGGAGUUUCAUCCUCUCCUCAGGCCCUUGCUGAUACCCAGGAUGUCUGAGGCACAUCAUGUGGUAAGUGGAAGACCUUGGACUCCGUGACAACUCCCAAAUUAUCUUCCUUUUUAAGGCCAGAGCAGCAAAAUACUUCAUGGCCCACAGAUGGCUCCAGUCUACCUUCUUUUGUCACUAAAUGUUGCCGUUAACAGAUUCUUGGCAUCCCUUUCCUGAGUGGGAGAUGAAGCUUCCAGGACUGGGCUAACACGUGGAUGAGCUCCGCCCAUGAGUCACCGAACUUCACCGACAGCUCCCCUAGAGCACCGCCAUGCACGCCCGCAGCACCGCUCACGGCUGUCGGGGAUUUUGUCUUCCCCUUAUGAAUGACUGAUAAAUCCUCCUGUCAUAUCUCUGAGGGUCCCCCCCUAACACUGCAGCUAGUAGGAGUGGUAUCAGUAUUACUUGUGGAUACUCUUUUCCACUCAAAUGUGUCUCCACCAUUUUUCAUUUAUUUUUAAUAUUUUUCUUUCCCAACCAGUUUCUUUGUUUAGGCCCCAAUGAGCCUUAUUUUACUGAUUCCCAUUUAUUCCUUUCAAGGAAUCAGAAAAGGCUUAAUGUCAAUUCCAAUUUCCAAAGCGGGUAGCAAUUGAGGAAAGUGCUUUCUUCAGAUCAAUACUUCCUCCUGACUUGACACUGAGCUAUUAAUAAUUUCUUGGCAUAUGAUUUCACUGGGAAAAAAACAGGAGCCCACAGAGCUUUAGGACAUGGAUGUAAAACUAGCUGGUUCUCUCUGAGACAGGGUUUAUGGGGAGGCCACAAAGGCUCAGCAGAAGCAGAGAGAGACCCUAGUCUCUGCGGCCCCGGUGUCCACCAAAGCUGAUUUUCACAUGCCCAGAGAUUAGGCCCAUCUGGCAACAAUCCCUUCACCGAUUCGUUCUGCUGAGUCUGUCUGAACACCUCGUCUUGCUCUCUGUGAUUUCAAAUGGGUGUAUCUGCUGCCUUCAGUAAUUCACUCAGCCUUGUAAGUUGUGGACGUUCGUUAACUGACCAGCUGGGGCGCCCCUCAGCCGGCGGCUCCAAGCUAAGUGUGAGUGCGGUCACCCCCGGGGGGCGGCCUGGGUCUGCGUCGCCCCUCAGAGGUGCCCCUCCUUCCAGGCUUCUCUGAAGAACCCCAGUCCCAGCCUUGGGGACCCGGGUGCUCCUCUCCCAGGCAAAGCCGGGGGUGACGGUGGCUGCCUCCCCGGCUCCCCACGCCAGCACAGGCGGCUGCAGGGGACUCCCCGCCAGGCUUAGAACAACUUAGGGGACUUCUGAGGCAGAAGAGGGAGACCGAACCGCAGGACAAGAGAGCACCACCGCCAAGGUCCCAGAGGAAGAGCGCUACAAAGGCAAGCCCUUCCCCAGCCCCACGCCUACCCCUCCGGCCUGCAGCAGAACGACGCUGAGCCCAGCCGUACCUGGGCCCCUGUAGGACUGCGCUUCAGGUUGUGCCCUGAGGGUGCUGGAGGGCUGGGCUGGCGUGGCUCCCUGCAGUAGGCCCCUCGAGGACUCCUCGUCCUUUUCUUCUUAACACUGAGCUGGUACCAACCGGUGCAACACACAUGAUCAUACAUGCACACAUGUGCACACAUGCACAAAGAUGCAUGUGCAGAUCCCAAAGGAGGAAUGCAUGUACUUCCCUAAGAACUCCACAGACGGCAGGGUCCUGGUGCCGAGGAAGCAGUGUCCCUCAGGCACAGGGCAUCACCCACCCACCAACAGAAGCAUUUCAGGUUAUGCCUCCUUGGGCCUGCCGAGAAUAAGAAAUGGGCACAUUUCUGAGGCAGACCCUAUUACCCAGUCCAAGUUGUGCCACUCCCCACAUGACAUGCCAGUAAGUCAAAGACAAGGUGUUGGGACAAAACGAUUUUAUUUGAAAAGCCAGCAGACUGAGAAGAUGGAGGACUAAUGUCCCCAGGCUUCAUCUUAGGUUGAUUUCAAGCCCCUUUGAUAUUAGGGAAGGAGGGGAGCAGGAGAGGGUGGAGGUCAGGAGGUGAUGACCAGCCUCAGACAUCCGGGCACCAGCAAGGGCCUGAGGAGUCCCUGGCCAGUUGAGUCCAGUCAUUUUGUUGGCAAGUCUGGCCGUGAUGUUCCUACUCGUCCUUGACAACCCAGUCGUCACUUUUGUCCAUACUUCCUUAUCUCCUGGGGGAGGCGAGUCUUGGGUAAGGGGCUGUUUGCAUCAAUCUUAAGCCGUGAGCAAAAUUCCUUCUGAUGUUUAACAAGCCUGGGUGCAGGGCCGCAAGGCUGAGCAAAAGCUUUUUGACCCAAAAUAAAGGCAGCAAAGGAGACAAAUACACUGUGAAGACAGAGGCGCCGAGUUUUUUCACUCCAUCACGCUUCCUAAGGCCCGCUGCCUUGACCUCACGAAGACCCAGCUACAGCUUUAAAAGGUAUGUUUACAAAGGCCCAAGAGGCUGGGGCCCCAGGGGAAGAGGGAGGCCGGGGCAAUGCGGUUCGUUGUUUCAUGUGCACGUGGAGGGCUUGUGUCUUAUUAGAAAACUCCCAUGGUGGGGAGUGGGGUCAGGGAGGACUUCACCCCAGUCCCCUGCCUCCUCAGUGUCUCGCUCCCGGCACCGGGUGUUCUGCCAACUUCCGGCUGAUGGGCUCCACCAGUGUAUUGAUGAAGGCUUGGCACCCAGACUGUGGGAAGCUCCCAAGUCCCGUGCUAGUCUAUGGCAUUUAUACUUUCAGCAUCUCCAUGGACGCUAUUUCCCAAAAAUAGUGCCAUCUUACUUAAUAUUUUCUUUUCAACUCUUGUGAAAUUAUCUCUUUUUUAAGGAAAUACUAUCAUAAAAAAAUAGAUGAUUGAUGAUGGAUAGACAGACAGACAGACAUAGAUGGUGAAUGGAUGGAUGGGUAACUGAAACAAUAGCUUCUCUCUCCAAUCCUAACAUAUUCCAGAUCUUUCCUUAGAGCAUCUAAACCUUCUGGCUGUUUACCAGCUGGAACUGGGUCUCCUGCUUUAGUGUUCAGACUCAGCUGUUGAGUCAAGCUACAGAGACGCCUGCACUGGCGGCUUCAGGAGGGAUCUCAGACCUCUGUGUCCCAAGGAAAACCCACAUUAGAAUGCAUCACGAGCCCACAUGGACCCUGGGAACGGCUGUAUUCUGAGGCCCGUGUCAACUGACCUGAAAAGUAGUUGCACCAUUGACUUCAAGUAGAAAGUUUUUCACCCACCCACCCUGCCAUGAACUUUCCAAAUCACCAUCUGGUGCUUCCUGUCCUCCCGUGAGCCCCUCCUGUUACAGUCCCCCUGGGGGGAGGUUCCAGCCCCAUGAAGCUUUGGAAAACAGUCGCAAAGAUGGAUCCAAGAGCAAAGGUCUGGCCGAGACCAGAUGUGCUUGUGCGCGUUUCCAACAAACUCCAGCACCUCCAGCUCAUGCUGGGCCCAAGCAGAGGAGCUUUGCCGGCCCUCUCCUCCAUCCUAAAGGACUGUAGGUGGGUCACGACAGCUGUGGCCCUGGCUUGGGAGUAAAUAUAUUCUCAGUGUCCUCAAGCAGGAAAAUCAGAAGCCAAACUAAGAGUAUCAAAGACCCUAAACAUACUUCCAGUGAGUUUCCGUCACAAGAUUUACAAACCCGCCCUCUUGGCCUGCUAUUUCUGUUUUUCAUUACCUGUAUCUUGAAAGUCUUAAGGAAAGGCUUCAUGACUCCAGUGGCCUUGACCAGUUACGCGGUAACGACAUCCACAAACGUGCCCCAGGUCUCUGGAGAAAGACAGGACUCUAAAGACAUGUCAUUUGUCUCUAUUUAUAUUUAGGUAUAUAGCCUGCUUAUCAUAAAAAAAAAAUAGAUUAAUUACUUCAUAAAAUUACAAAACAAGAAAAGGUAAUAUCAGAAGUAAAGUCAAAUUCCAUCCAGUCAAUGUAUUUGGGUAAAUAGUGCCUUGAAUUUUAAGGCAUUCUAAGAACAAGCAGCAGGCUCAAAUAGUGCAGUUUUCCCUCAAAAUGAGCAUAGCCUAUCAGAGCAUCUGUGUUUAUGUGGGGUCAUAUUCACAAAUACAAAUUCUGGUUUCAGAAAACACAACAUCAAGCCUCUUACACUGACAUGAAUGCUGUUUCUGAUGUUAUUCUAAGACAGGUAGCACAUAUUUUGAGUGUGAGAGCAGAAUCACUUGGUUUCCCGAUCCACAGAACAACUCCAUACUAAGGAUUUGGGCAAAAAUAACCUUGAUUUUUAUAGACUUGUAUUUUCUUCCAAGGUCUUGGCCCAUAAUCUUAUUAAAUUUGACAGUUCAAAAUAAGUUUCCCUGGGAAAGUUUGAAAACUGACUCUUAGAAAACUUUGCAAACAUUGACUUUUAAAAUAUAUAUUAUUAAUUUUCAAUUACUACAAAUGAUUAUUACAAAGAAUCUGAACUAUUCAAUGCACAAGAAUAUAAUUUAUGGGGUAAAUAUCCAUCCCACCCUCCCUCAGAUAAUCACCAUCAGUUGUUGUGUAUGUAUACUUUCAGAGUUUUAUAUAAAUUGGAACAUGCAUGUUCUAAAUGACUGUGGAGUCCCGUGCUAAUGAGCUAGAGGGCAUUAACUUUCUUGCACAGGAGGCACCUCCCCCAGAAUCAGACAGGACUUCAGCUGCGUGGCAUCCCUUCCAGUUCUUCGGACUUAGUCAGUGCCCAGACCCUCAGGGCCGUCGGGGUGGGGAGGGCCUCCAUUGUAUUUCCACAGCUACCCUGCCCGGCUCCUGUUCCCGCCCACCGUCUAAGAACAUCUUCCAGAACCCGCUCCAGUGACGAUGCAUCUCUGUCCCAGCAGGAUGCACUGGCACCCCACCUCCAUGCCACCACUGUCCCCUGGAGCUCCAUGGUGCGGGUCACAUCCAUCCAGGCCCUGGAACCGCACGCUGCAGCUCCCGGCUGGGCCUCGUCUUCAUCCCGCCGCAAGCUCCCAGGACCCCAGCCACAUCUUCCUGGCCUGGUCCCCAGACCACAGUGUUUAACUGCAUCGUGUCCACAUGGUCUCCACCUCAGGUGGCAGGGCCCGAGGCCACCAAGGACACAGGAGGUGAGGGAGCACAGAGCCUCCUCGGAGCACGGGAGGCAGGCACCGAGAGCGCCGGCUUCUGUGCAGCCCAGGCCCCAGUCACUUGACGCAGCCCCCACGGUGACCCACGCUGCCUGGUUUCUUCCUGCCGACAAGACUGGAAAGCAAACACCACCUGCGCUCCAGGCCUCGGGCUUUUCUGGAUGCUGAACAAUUCUGCAGGAGUGUGGGCCAGGCACCUGAGGGGCCUGGCAUCCCUUUGCUUGCUAACGCCAAAUUUGAAGCCCCAGCUCAGAAGCAGCAUCUGGUGGUUAUUGCUACUCCGGCCCUGAGAGCUUUGGAGCCAGACAGCCCGGGGGCCCCACAGCAGGUGCGAGCUGGGUGAGUUCAGCUAUGGGCCCUCCUCACACGCAUGCUGGUGGUCCAUCCCUGUGACAGACGACAUGGCACCAUGGGUGCCCAAUAGGCGGUGCCCAGGCAAUGUCAGGCACUGUUACUACUACAGCCUGUUCUUCCAUCUAGCAGCCUUGACACUGUGCGUGAGAUGCCGAGGACUUGGUAGGUGCAGACGGGGUACAAAGAGCACGAGUUAGCAUGGUCCUCACAGCCCUGCUAAGAUGCCAGAUCAGUGUGGGGACCAGGCACCCUACACGUAUGUCGCCCGGGUCAUCGUGCUGGGCUGUUCCCAGGUCUUUACUGUUAGCCAGCCUGCUCCCGGCACAGCCUGGUGGUUGUCUUGAGCUUGCAUCCCAGGCCUUCUAGGAGUUUGGAUUCACCAGCAGCGCUCCUGACACAUUGGGUGCCAAACACGAGCUCGAGCCCGAAGAGAGGUUACCGCAGCUCCGUCGUGCCUACACGCUGGGACGCCCGUGGAGGCCCCCAGGUAAGCGUUUAUCACCAGUCGGCAUAGAGGUCCCGAGCUCUCUGAGCACUGCCAUCAGCCACAGAUGGCCCCACACAGGACACAUAGGUGGACUUCAGUGAAGCAUUUCAUCUCAGCGCACUGGAGGCGAAGGUCCAAGCUGGGCUUGGGAGUCCGAAUCUACUAGUCAUUCUGUUUCCAGUAUGAGCGAGUUCCAGCCUCAGGGUGUGAGGGGAAGUACCUGAGUCAUGUUUGUGAAGCACCUGGACACCGCAUGAUCCUGCACUACAGCAGAUGGCCAGGAGGUGGUGACAGGCACCACUGUUGUGUGC
This is a long non-coding RNA of Manis javanica (Malayan pangolin), 8661 nucleotides long. RefSeq lists it as uncharacterized. The record is from RefSeq and is a predicted model, not a curated record. NCBI's taxonomy places the organism in Eukaryota, Metazoa, Chordata, Mammalia, Pholidota, Manidae.